Small nuclear RNA from Gracilinanus agilis (Agile Gracile Mouse Opossum), 102 nucleotides. Lineage: Eukaryota; Metazoa; Chordata; Mammalia; Didelphimorphia; Didelphidae. The record is from RefSeq and is a predicted model, not a curated record.
GUGCCUUUUAGCAGCACGUAUGAUAAAAUGAGAAUGAUAUAGAGAUUAGUAUGGCCCUCAUACUAGGAAGACCAACACCUUUGUGAAGAAUUCUGUAUCUUU